CAGUCCUCCGGAGGUUUGAGGAGCUAAGCAGAUGAUUCUAAAGCACAGCAAAGUUGAGACACUAAAUGCUGGGCGUGGGUACGAGCAAUGCUGCCAUCAUUUCAAUUGCGGGCUGGGCCAAAUCUUUGUGCUCAGCAAAGACCUUUUCACCAGGGGCGUGAAUAGAGCAGGUCUUGUUUGAAUGGCUGUAUGGAUUUUGCAUGAAUCACCCCUGUCCAACGCUGGAGACACCCUUUCCAGAAGAUCCUGAUUCCAGUCUGCAUCCAUCAACCAGUUGCAAGGCUCUUGGAAGCAUCUCUGGGCUUUUGAGCGAUUUCACUCGACCAGAAAACCCAGUGGCUGGACUGAGGAGCAGUCAUGAGACGGAAGCCACGGCAGAUGGAAGCUGGACAUUGCUUUGAUCAGAUGCUCAAGUGACAGGGGACGAGAGCUACCACCUCCAACUUUCCACAAGCUCUUGCUUGCAGUGCCCAUGUCAGGGCUGAGAUGCUUGCUUAAGUCUAGCUCUGGAGCCGAAAUCACUCUUAUUUCUGCGUCCAGAGCGGGCCUGGGGAACCUUUUACCCGAGGCGAUGAGAGGAAGACACUGUGAGCCACCCUCUCCCCACUACAGGCUGUGUGACUACAGUGGAAGUCUGAAAGACUCACUUUAGAAACUUUGGCCGUGCCACUAAUUUGCUGAUAAAUGAUUGCCUACGAGCUGAGGUGGAGAUCCAGGAACCGAACUGCAGAAGUGAAGAUCCCUCUUUAUGCAGACGACGACCAUUGUACUGUGUGAAACAAGGCGUGUAAGUGUUCCCUGUACCAGGGAGUUUAUAAUUCAACGCCAGGAGGAAGCGUCAUGCACGCCUAGAACUGCAAUAGACAAGGUCUGUGCUACCCACAUAAGCCAUACAAGAUCAGAAUACAUCACAAACAUGAGGGUGACCUCUUGAUGGAAGUACUCAAGCCAAAUUUGGGGAACAGAGCCCCAGAUCUGAUGGGGGUAAUGAGUCAGAUAAUCUGGAGAUGUUCGGUGAGAGCCAGCCAGUGUUGAAACUGCCCACAUUAUUAUCAUGAUUUUAAUUAACUUUUGUUUAGACAAAGUCUCACUACGUAGCCCAGACUUGGUUAGCUUAUCAUCCUCUUGUCUCUGCCUCUCAGAUCCUGUGAUUCCAGGUGUGCACACUCUCCCCGGCUCCUUAUCAUCAUCUUUAAUGUUGCUCUUAUUAUUAGCUGGCUCAGAACAGUCAUUAGAGCAAGAGAUAAGAAUAAUUCAUUUAAGGAAUGAACAGGACUUUAAAAUUUGGUUAGGGUUUGUUGUUGUUGUUGUUUUGUUAUUAAUUUUAGAGUAGAGGUCUGAGAUAGGUUUUAGAAAUGCUUUCAAAAGUGUGGGUAUUGUUCCCAGGAGCUAAGACUUCCAUGGCUGACUAUUCCAUACAUAAUUUCUUCACCUACACAAAUAGUAAAGCUCUCAGCCAAAUAUUCUCUCUGGUCCUAGCACGUCAUGUCUCCCAUGGAAACAAUUCUUAUACCAGCAUUGAAGACAAUGUAGAAUCCAUGGAUGACUGUAUUCAUCACUCAUCUCUGUAUUUUAGAAAGACAAUUCCAUAGACAGCCUGUGUGAAAACAUCUUAGAUUCUGUUACUAUUUUUAUUUAGGUGUUCUUUUUUAUUUUACUCCCCCCACCCCUCAAGCCAGGGUUUCUCUGUUCGCCCUGGAUGUUUAAGAACUCCUUCUGUAGGUCAGGCUGGCUUUGAACUCGCAGAGAUAUGCUUGCUUCUACCUCCUGAAUGCUAGAGUCAAAGGUGUGUGCCACCACUACCACCUGGCUCUUUGCUAGUGUUUCUUCUAUUACGUUUCUUUCUUAAUCUUCUCUUCCACUUCUCAACUCACUACAUUGAGCCUCUGCUCUGCUCCUGUGUGAAUGGUGGACAAACACCAUUUGAGAUUCUAAAGGCCAGUGGGUGAAAGGUUAUGACUUACACAAGAAUUUAGGACACUACAUUAUGUCCCAUUUGCAGAUCCUGCCUCUAGUCUCUGGGAUAGAACAGAGAGAAGAUAACUCCACACAGUCCUUAGGGGACUCUUCAGUCUGUUGGACUUUCUGAGACAGUCUAAGUGAUCCAAGAGUUCUCAAACUCAUUAGGGCUGAGAGUGCAG
RNAcentral lists this long non-coding RNA (2141 nucleotides) under Mus musculus (house mouse). Its description in RNAcentral is "RIKEN cDNA F930017D23 gene". The record is from RNAcentral. Lineage: Eukaryota; Metazoa; Chordata; Mammalia; Rodentia; Muridae.